UGGCAACACUGCUCUCGGAUCAGUCCGCAUGUUCGCGGUGCAUUUUUUAUGGAAUAUGUUGAGCAAACCUGGAGAAGCGUCAGCUCAAGAUAUUAUUGUUGUCAUUGCUGUGGAUCUUUACCUGAUACACUGACUUGGCCCAUCGGGACCAGCACUCCUGCUGUUGGACAGAAAGACAUCAACUUGAGAUAUGACUGCACUAUGCUGUUGCUGGUGACUCCAGUUAAUUCUACAAGACAUGCUGUGACACCAGGAGAGAUGAGUCCUCCAUCACAGAUGGUGUGGUCAGUGAAGAUGGUCGCCUGCAGGUUCAAGCUCAUUGCAUCUCCAACCCACAUCCACUGCCACUGUACUUAAGGGAAGUUAAAGACUUUCUUCUGCACCUACAUUUGGAUCACCUCGAUCCAUGACAGUCAUUCA
Molecule: long non-coding RNA, 420 nt
Organism: Oreochromis aureus
Lineage: Eukaryota; Metazoa; Chordata; Actinopteri; Cichliformes; Cichlidae
Source: Ensembl